This is a non-coding RNA of Coturnix japonica (Japanese quail), 234 nucleotides long. Lineage: Eukaryota; Metazoa; Chordata; Aves; Galliformes; Phasianidae. The record is from RefSeq and is a predicted model, not a curated record.
GGGGUCCCUAUGGGUCCCUAUGGGGCUGUAUGGGUCCCUAUGGGGUCUCUAUGGGGUGUUUAUGGACCCCCACAGCCCCCCGAGGAUGACGGACAUAAGAGCCCCCCCGACCUGGACCGCAUUGCCGCCUCCAUGUUGGCCCUGACGUUGUCCCUGCGACGCUCACAGGGAGCUCAGCCCUUCGGGGACAGACCCCGACCACGAUGAGACCCCCCCCCUAAUUAAUAACCCCCC